Molecule: RNA transcript, 945 nt
Organism: Raphanus sativus (radish)
Lineage: Eukaryota; Viridiplantae; Streptophyta; Magnoliopsida; Brassicales; Brassicaceae
Exons: 7
Source: RefSeq, a predicted model, not a curated record
CACUUACUUGUGCUCUUCCUCUCCACUUUAUUAUUCUCAUCCUCCUUCGCUUUCCAAUCAGACGAGCUCCUCCGGAGUUUGGUCUCGAGUUACCACAGAUUCGCCGCCGAAGCAGACUCCGAGUAUCCGUAGACGGUACUCGGAUCCUGAUCUGGACUCCAAGAUCCAAUUCACCCUCGAACAUGCCUUCGGAGACUCUGAUUUCUCCUCCGCCGGUACUUUCUCCGCUCGCCUCAAGACUUGGAGCCACGGUGGUCAGACACUAACGAAACUGCGCUUCUCUAGGAAUGAGUUUUCUAAUGCCUUUAAAAAUCUGCUGAAGGGAGAUGACUUUUAUAGAAUAAGACUCCCAUCUAAUGUUGUUAGUCCACCUGGGAGAGAGUAUGUGAUUCCAUCAGUGAGAGCUAGAUGUCUUGUCUUCCACGGGAUGGUUUGGAUGAGCAUAUUGUUAAUUCGUUAUACACAUGGAUGGUGCCAACAUUUUGGCAGUCAGUUACGGCUCUCCUGGAGCGUGUCCGUAUCCUCGACAGUUGAAAUUUCCAGGAAAAUGGACAUUUAACUCCCACACUAUCUUGAAGAGUAGUGAGCAGGCACCAAGAACUCCGAUAUUAUUACAGUGGAUGUACCUGAUACCACUUGGACUCAUAGUGAUGAAUACAAGCGAGUAACAUGGCGGAAGAACAAACUCCGGGGUCUCAAGGGCAAGCACCAGCAGCGAUUCAGCGCGGUUCCGCACCCAGGAGAAGAUGAUGAUUCCUUUCUCAAUUUCUUAUAAACAUGAUUUUUUUUUUUUAAUACUUAUAUAUCUGUUGUGGAGCUAUGUCACUGGAACAACAUGCAUUCGUAGGCUAGUUAUUGUAACGACCAGACUAUCCAGCCGGUGUUAUGACUACUAGCUUAACAUUGUUAUUUGAUUUUACAUGUGAUAAAUAAUUUUAGACUUCA